Molecule: long non-coding RNA, 403 nt
Filed under: Brassica napus (rape)
Lineage: Eukaryota; Viridiplantae; Streptophyta; Magnoliopsida; Brassicales; Brassicaceae
Description: long non-coding RNA (BNAP_LNC021659)
Source: RNAcentral
CUACAUGCAGAUCUCCCGCUUUUUCCACAAAAAGACAAAAAUAUUGAACUGCAUGCAGAUCUCCCGCUUUUUGCACAAAAAGAAAAAAAUAUUGAAUUGCAUGCAGAUCUCCCGCUUAAACUGCUUUUGCAAACAUAAAAACGUGAAUAGUGAAUAUAUUGCGGGAGAACUACACGUACAAGAGAACAACACUUAUCCUGCCAUUCCAUUCAUAACCUAAAAAGUGGUCCAAGUAUACUUUUGAAAAUGUCACUCUCGUCAGAAAAAAAAAAGAUUUAUUAACUGAGUAUUAGUCAAGCGUCCUAUCAUACUUCUUAUGGCGUGUCCCACCAAAUUGAUUUCAUUGAGAAUCAAAAAGAAAAGUAAUUCUAAAGUAUAUACGGUCCAAUAUAUACACAUGCAA